Molecule: unclassified non-coding RNA, 329 nt
Filed under: soil metagenome
Description: partial contains 5.8S ribosomal RNA, internal transcribed spacer 2, and large subunit ribosomal RNA
Rfam family: 5.8S ribosomal RNA (bases 1-120)
Source: RNAcentral
GAUGAAGAACGCAGCAAAAUGCGAUAAGUAGUGUGAAUUGCAGAAUUCAGUGAAUCAUCGAAUCUUUGAACGCACAUUGCGCCCCUUGGUAUUCCGAGGGGCAUGCCUGUUCGAGCGUCAUUAUAACCCCUCAAGCUCAGCUUGGUGUUGGGGCCUGCUGCACUGGCAGCCCUUAAAAUCAGUGGCGGCGCCAUCUGGCUCUAAGCGUAGUAAUUCUUCUCGCUAUGGAGUCCUGGUGGAUGCUUGCCAUCAACCCCCAAUUUUUCUAUGGUUGACCUCGGAUCAGGUAGGGAUACCCGCUGAACUUAAGCAUAUCAAUAAGCGGAGGA